AACGAAGCGCUUAAGAAUGAUUCUUCGGAUGAAGUCUUUUGUGACUUAGUGGCGGACGGGUGAGUAACGCGUGGGUAACCUGCCUCACACAGGGGGAUAACAGUUGGAAACGACCGCUAAUACCGCAUAACCCGCUGGUGCCGCAUGGCACUGACGGAAAAGAUUUAUCGGUGUGAGAUGGACCCGCGUCUGAUUAGCCAGUUGGCAGGGUAACGGCCUACCAAAGCGACGAUCAGUAGCCGGCCUGAGAGGGUGAACGGCCACAUUGGGACUGAGACACGGCCCAAACUCCUACGGGAGGCAGCAGUGGGGAAUAUUGCACAAUGGGGGAAACCCUGAUGCAGCGACGCCGCGUGAGUGAAGAAGUAUUUCGGUAUGUAAAGCUCUAUCAGCAGGGAAGAAAAUGACGGUACCUGACCAAGAAGCCCCGGCUAACUACGUGCCAGCAGCCGCGGUAAUACGUAGGGGGCAAGCGUUAUCCGGAUUUACUGGGUGUAAAGGGAGCGUAGACGGUGAUGCAAGUCAGAAGUGAAAGCCCGGGGCUCAACUCCGGGACUGCUUUUGAAACUGUGUAACUGGAGUGCAGGAGAGGUAAGCGGAAUUCCUGGUG
This 610-nucleotide ribosomal RNA is filed under the name uncultured bacterium. RNAcentral's name for it is "bacterial SSU rRNA". It matches the Rfam family "Bacterial small subunit ribosomal RNA", at positions 65 to 675 of the family's 1533-position model. The record is from RNAcentral.